Molecule: ribosomal RNA, 378 nt
Filed under: Triticum aestivum (bread wheat)
Lineage: Eukaryota; Viridiplantae; Streptophyta; Magnoliopsida; Poales; Poaceae
Description: partial small subunit ribosomal RNA
Source: RNAcentral
AUGAGAGACGAUGAAAAAGAAGGCGUCUACAGCCUCCUUCCUCUCCUACCACCCUUUCUGCGGGUGCUGUCAGUGGGAACGGGGGUCACGUCCUCUGCAAAGAGAAUCAGACAUACAAUUAUUAGUUCUAUGCCCAAUAAGGACGAGACCACAAUGAAACAGCAAAGUAACAAGAUAUGUGUUCUUCAUUUGCAUAUAUGCGGCGGGAAGUCAGAAUUUACCAAUGCGUCCAAUUUUCAUGCCAGAACGAGCGAGUGCCCUGAGAGCGGAUUGAGCACCAGGUCCAGGAGUCUUGGUCUUGUUGCCUCCAGUGGCACGGAGCUUAAUGUGCAAAGCAGUGAUGCCGAGCUCCUGGAAGCGCGAGUGGAAAACAUAUAA